Molecule: ribosomal RNA, 292 nt
Filed under: uncultured bacterium
Lineage: Bacteria
Description: partial 16S ribosomal RNA
Rfam family: Bacterial small subunit ribosomal RNA
Source: RNAcentral
GUGCCAGCAGCCGCGGUAAUACGAAGGGUGCGAGCGUUGUUCGGAAUUAUUGGGCGUAAAGGGUUCGUAGGCGGGAGAAUAAGUUAAGUGUGAAAGACCUGGGCUUAACCUGGGAGUGUCACUUAAAACUGUUUUUCUUGAGUCUCAGAGAGGGUGGUGGAAUUGCUGGUGUAGGAGUGACAUCCGUAGAGAUCAGCAGGAACAUCGGAGGCGAAGGCGACCACCUGGCUGAAGACUGACGCUGAGGAACGAAAGCGUGGGGAGCAAACAGGAUUAGAAACCCUUGUAGUCC